Long non-coding RNA from Daphnia pulex (common water flea), 2697 nucleotides. RefSeq lists it as uncharacterized. The record is from RefSeq and is a predicted model, not a curated record. The transcript is spliced from 4 exons. NCBI's taxonomy places the organism in Eukaryota, Metazoa, Arthropoda, Branchiopoda, Diplostraca, Daphniidae.
UAAUAGCCUGACUGUUGAGGUUUGUGUUGAACUCAUUCAGCACUAGAUGGCAGUGUUGUGAUUUACUGAGAAAUACAUUGAAGACAACGUCGGAGUGAUGACGCUUGGCUGUCAACGUUGAUGGGUGGAUGCAGAGAAGUUGGAAGAUACUGUUUCCUCACUGUGUGGUUUGUCUGACUAAGAACAAGUGUGUUGUAAUACUGUGUGAAAUUGAAUUGUUGUGUUUGGUUAUGGGCCCAGAUUUCGCCAUACCGUUAACGAACUUAUCAGAAUGGCUCAAAACUACUCUUUGGAUGCUAUAAAGCAAUUAAGAAAGUUUGAUGGAACUCAAUUCACUACGUGGAAACACCACAUGGAAAUGUUGUUUACUCUCAAACAAAUGAGACAGUUCAUUCAAGGAGAAGACAACGAAACUCAAGAAGUAUUUGCUGGUGAAGGUGAUCUUCGUGUAGUCACCAAUCAGGAAUUGAUCAAUCAAUGGAAGACAACUGAUUGAACUAACUACGACAUGUGGACUCGGUUGGAAACCCAAUAUCUUCAUGCAGACAACAAACAUCUCUUACACAGAGACUUCAUGAAUCUGAGACCAGUCGACAACCAAGAUUUCAUGAUUCACAUCACUGAAUUGGAAUCCAAAGCCGCUGAACUCAAUGAUCUUGGAGUGAUGGUGACGCAACACCACCUCAUCACUACCAUUUUGUGUAGCCUUCCAGAACGUUUUGCAAAUCUGACGUCCAUUUGGGACAAUCUCCCUGACGCUGAUAGAACAAUGGAAGCACUGCGUGCUCGCAUUGUUGGGGAAGAAAGAAGGUUCAACAACAGUCAAGGACAAUCAAAUGCUCGGUCAUUGAUUUUGAAUUCAGACAAUGGACCCCCUGACAAUUCCAUUGAGAGUUCUGCUCUGUUUGGCAACGAUUCACGUAGAAGAGGACACUUUCGUGGUGGAAGAGGCCAGUCAUGAGGGCACAUCAGUAGCGUGAUCAAUCGAGAUCUUGUCUCUUGCUCAUUCUGCGGGAAAGACGGCCAUCUUGGAUUCGAAUGUCGAACUCGUAUUGCCAAUGAACACGAGAAAAUCAAGUUCAGCUCCUUUCACUACAAACGGCCCAAAGAUGAUCGGGAUACAACUAAUUCAUUCGGGAAGGAAGUCGAUUUUUCCCUCAUCUCUUCAUGUUGCUUGACAGCUAAGAAUUCGAAGGACAUUUUUCUUGAUUCUGGUGCAACUAGGCACAUGAGUGGUGAUGAAUCCAUAUUAAGUGAUCUACGCAUCAUCGCUGACAAUAGCGGGCCUGUGAAUCGAAUUGGUGGUACUGUCCUUUACGCCCGUGGAAUUGGAACAAUGCGACUUGUCCGACACGUUGGUGAUUCGUCUACAUUUGGCGAAGUUACAGAAGGUCUGUUUGUUUCUGGACUGGGCGUGAAUCUCAUCUCUAUUUGGUUGCUUAACCAAGAGUGGAUUUACAGUUUCUUUCUCUGGCCUACAAGCUAUCAUCAAACGAAACAAGACGAUCAUUCCAACAGCAUCCCGGUCUGGGGAGACUCUAUAUCGUGCUGCUGCUACUCUUGCUCCUCUCACUGACGUAUGCCUUGCAGCAUCUCCUGCUACCGUCGCUACUAUGCACCACAUUCCUUACUGCCAACUCGUGGGGAGUAACAUGUACGCGGCUCUCAAAGCUCGACUCGAAGUUCGACCUGACGUCAUCUUCAUGGCGAGUCAUCUUGCUCAGCACCUUCAUAAUUCUACCAUAAUCCACUGGAAAGCUGCUAAACGUAUUCUUCAAUACCUCGGCACAACACGCUACCAUGGUCUCGAGUUCGGCAGUAAGAGCCAUGACAACUACAUCGUUGUUGCGCAUUCGGAAGCAGACUACGCUGGGGAUCCGGAUUCAAAACAGUCCGCAAUUGGAUAUAUUCUCGUUCUGAACGGAGGGGCAAUCAGCUACAAUCUGCAGUUGGUGUUCUCCACGUCAACCCAUCGUCACCACAUCUAUCAUGCAAUCGGUUUAUUUUGCCGCUAGUGAUUGCUCUAGAGAAUUUGUGUACGUGGGGACUUAACGUCAAUUGGCAGACGCGCUAACUAAAGCUAGUGAAUCAAUCUUCAAUCAUUUCUGCGUGUUUUUAUAUUGGUGGUGAAUUUAUCUUAGUUCUGAAUGAGGGAGAGUGUUGAGGUUUGUGUUGAACUCAUUCAGCACUAGAUGGCAGUGUUGUGAUUUACUGAGAAAUACAUUGAAGACAACGUCGGAGUGAUGACGCUUGGCUGUCAACGUUGAUGGGUGGAUGCAGAGAAGUUGGAAGAUACUGUUUCCUCACUGUGUGGUUUGUCUGACUAAGAACAAGUGUGUUGUAAUACUGUGUGAAAUUGAAUUGUUGUGUUUGGUAAGUCUCAUUGAUCUUGUCUCCUACGUUAAUCAGGAGACAAAAUACACACUCUACUUGAGUAUCAAACUGACAAAACUCUUCUCUGAUAUUUGUGUCUUAACACUGACAAUUAAUGUCUAUUAAACAAUACAUAAUACAUAAUUUGUCUAGGCUUAUUACCAUGGGUCCAGAAUGAAUUUGACAGGCCUCAAUUCAUAAAUUCUUUCGCCAACCUGUAGAAGAGAAAAAAGGGAAAAUGUAAACUAAAAAACAGGUUCUAUGAAAGUCAACAACAAUCACGCAAGAUUGAAACGCGUGAUUGAACACGAUUUUACCUUCUCG